UGGGUGCGGUUAUUUUUUCUCAUCUUAGUUUGCUAUUUUGGCGCGAUUUUGACAAUUUCUGGCGCAUUCCACUUAUUUACUUUAGCGGCCAUAGGGCAAUGGUUUACUAACGGGAGAUGUGAUGAAUUACAGCAGCAAUACUUGAAAUAUAAGGAAGAAGUGAAGCAAUUAUGAUACCUAUUAUUUUUUAUAAUGACAGAAGGAACGUGGAAGAAAAAAACAUUUUGUGCAGCAUGUGAAAACAAGGAAAUAGAAUGAAAGAAGGGCUGCUACUUUUCAUGCUCCCGAAACCAGCCAUCUCAUCAUCAUAGCAUGUUGCAUUGGAGCUCUGCUGGAGUUUGCUGAUGACAGGAUGCUGAAGGGCUGAAGCUGGUAGCUCUGGCAGGAGUCCAGUGUCCACCAGCUCAAGAUCCGACGCCGCCGCGUCGCCGCCGUGCGGCACUCCGCGGAGACGGGGACGGCGGUCAUGAUUGAAGACACCGCAUUUCCCGCCUGGACUGUCCGGUCGGAGACUGGUAAUCCCUCCGGUGAGCCGCACACCGUGGAGCUACUGCACCGCGCGUGUCCACCCGCAGCGCAGUGCCAGCAACGGUGCCGUGAGUGCGACAUCUGCGUGCAUAUGACGCAGUGCGACUGUCACGACUCGCGGCUCAGUGUUCUGUCAGUGUGACAGUGCGGCUCGCGCUCGUUUUAGCGUGGUGCUCUGUUGUAUAUAACCACCUUGAUGGAGACCUAUGUGCUGCCGCUUGAGUUUCAGUGUACAGUUUUAUGCAUCAAACUAGCGUAAGUAAAUGGCUGUCAGAGGUCAAUUUGAAGCGCAAUUAGUACCCAUAACCCAGCUGGGUUGAGCGAGUCAUGUGACUAGUCCCGAUGAACGUACUGUUUCGAUGUCGUCGGUCGUAGACUUUUGUAAACCAUUCGUUUCGGAGCUCUGUGUUGUGUUGUUGGGGACCGCAGUUGUUUGAGCAGUUUGCUUUAUGCGUCGUACGCUGACAGAACGCUGGUCGUACACAAGUCAUGUGUUUCCUUUCGCCCCUAAUGUGUUACUGCGGUACCUAUGCAGUUGUAAUGUGUCUCUAUACACUAACUGGUCGCACUUGGUUGUGAAAAUGACACUAGCUGGUCGCACUUGGUUUCAAACUGCGCUUGGAAGUCGUGCAAUUUUAUUUGCAUUUUGCAAUGCAAUUUUAUUGCCGUUACCGUAUUGGUAGAUUGAGAUAGUGUCAGAAGUUGGCCAUUUGAUGCGUUGUCACUUGUGAGACGUUGUUGCCUUAGUACUGACGAAUUGCUGGGCCGCGUUUGUGUUCCUGUUAAGAAACGGAUCUCAAUAUAAGGUGAUUCAGAGGUAGGAACCUGAAUGCAUUC
Long non-coding RNA from Amphibalanus amphitrite, 1365 nucleotides. RefSeq lists it as uncharacterized. The record is from RefSeq and is a predicted model, not a curated record. The transcript has 2 exons. NCBI's taxonomy places the organism in Eukaryota, Metazoa, Arthropoda, Thecostraca, Balanomorpha, Balanidae.